This 274-nucleotide ribosomal RNA is filed under the name uncultured bacterium. Its description in RNAcentral is "partial 16S ribosomal RNA". It matches the Rfam family "Bacterial small subunit ribosomal RNA", at positions 523 to 796 of the family's 1533-position model. The record is from RNAcentral.
CUACGGAGGGUGCAAGCGUUAAUCGGAAUUACUGGGCGUAAAGAGUACGUAGGUGGUUUGUUAAGUCAGAUGUGUAAGCCCCGGGCUCAACCUGGGAACUGCAUUUGAAACUGGCAAACUAGAGUAUGGUAGAGGGGGGUAGAAUUUCUAGCGUAGCGGUGAAAUGCGUAGAUAUUAGAAGGAAUACCAGUGGCGAAGGCGGCCCCCUGGACCAAUACUGACACUGAGGUACGAAAGCGUGGGUAGCGAACAGGAUUAGAAACCCUAGUAGUCC